Molecule: ribosomal RNA, 458 nt
Filed under: uncultured Peptococcaceae bacterium
Lineage: Bacteria; Bacillati; Bacillota; Clostridia; Eubacteriales; Peptococcaceae
Description: bacterial SSU rRNA
Rfam family: Bacterial small subunit ribosomal RNA
Source: RNAcentral
CCCGCACAAGCGGUGGAGCAUGUGGUUAAUUCGACGCAACGCGAAGAACCUUACCAGGGCUUGACACUCCCUGACCGCGUAUGAAAGUACGUUUUCACCCUCGGGUGACAGGGGAGACAGGUGGUGCAUGGUUGUCGUCAGCUCGUGUCGUGAGAUGUUGGGUUAAGUCCCGCAACGAGCGCAACCCUUGCCAUUAGUUGCUACGAAAGGGCACUCUAAUGGGACUGCCGGUGACAAACCGGAGGAAGGUGGGGAUGACGUCAAGUCCUCAUGGCCCUUAUAGGUGGGGCUACACACGUCAUACAAUGGCCGGUACAGAGGGUAGCCAACCCGCGAGGGGGAGCCAAUCCCACAAAGCCGGUCGUAGUCCGGAUCGCAGUCUGCAACUCGACUGCGUGAAGUCGGAAUCGCUAGUAAUCGUGGAUCAGCAUGCCACGGUGAAUACGUUCCCGGGCCUU